GAGGGUAUAGUUCAGUGGUAGAGUGCAUGCUUAGCAUGCAUGAGGUCCUGGGUUCAAUCCUCAGUACCUCCA
This 72-nucleotide transfer RNA is filed under the name Camelus bactrianus (Bactrian camel). It matches the Rfam family "tRNA". Rfam says of the family: Transfer RNA (tRNA) molecules are approximately 80 nucleotides in length. RNAcentral also lists the same sequence under 2 other names. Lineage: Eukaryota; Metazoa; Chordata; Mammalia; Artiodactyla; Camelidae. The record is from Rfam by way of RNAcentral.